Molecule: ribosomal RNA, 407 nt
Filed under: uncultured bacterium
Lineage: Bacteria
Description: bacterial SSU rRNA
Rfam family: Bacterial small subunit ribosomal RNA
Source: RNAcentral
UGAGGAAUUUUCUGCAAUGGGCGAAAGCCUGACAGAGCAAUACCGCGUGAGGGAUGAAGGCCUACGGGUUGUAAACUUCUUUUCUCAAGGAGGAAGAUCUGACGUUACUUGAGGAAUAAGCAUCGGCUAACUUCUGUGCCAGCAGCCGCGGUAAUACAGGGGAUGCAAGUGUUAUCCGGAAUUAUUGGGCGUAAAGCGUCUGCAGGUGGAUUUUUAAGUCUUUUGUUAAAUGUUUGGGCUUAACCCGAAAUCUGCAAAAGAAACUAUUGAUCUUGAGUCUGGUAGAGGUAGAAGGAAUUUCCAGUGGAGCGGUGAAAUGCGUAGAGAUUGGAAAGAACACCAAAAGCGAAGGCAUUCUACUGGGCCAUGACUGACACUCAGAGACGAAAGCUAGGGGAGCAAACAGG